GUAUGUGUCAACCUCAAUCCUAAACAAGCA
This 30-nucleotide non-coding RNA is filed under the name Homo sapiens (human). The record is from RNAcentral. Lineage: Eukaryota; Metazoa; Chordata; Mammalia; Primates; Hominidae.